This 493-nucleotide ribosomal RNA is filed under the name uncultured bacterium. Its description in RNAcentral is "bacterial SSU rRNA". It matches the Rfam family "Bacterial small subunit ribosomal RNA", at positions 28 to 507 of the family's 1533-position model. The record is from RNAcentral.
GAUGAACGCUAGCUACAGGCUUAACACAUGCAAGUCGAGGGGAAACGACAUCGAAAGCUUGCUUUUGGUGGGCGUCGACCGGCGCACGGGUGAGUAACGCGUAUCCAACCUGCCCACCACUUGGGGAUAACCUUGCGAAAGUAAGACUAAUACCCAAUGAUAUCCCACGAAGGCAUCCGAAUGGGAUUAAAGAUUUAUCGGUGAUGGAUGGGGAUGCGUCUGAUUAGCUUGUUGGCGGGGUAACGGCCCACCAAGGCUACGAUCAGUAGGGGUUCUGAGAGGAAGGUCCCCCCACAUUGGAACUGAGACACGGUCCAAACUCCUACGGGAGGCAGCAGUGAGGAAUAUUGGUCAAUGGGCGAGAGCCUGAACCAGCCAAGUAGCGUGCAGGACGACGGCCCUAUGGGUUGUAAACUGCUUUUAUAAGGGAAUAAAGUGGGUCACGUGUGACUUUUUGCAUGUACCUUAUGAAUAAGGACCGGCUAAUUCCGUG